This 360-nucleotide transfer-messenger RNA is filed under the name bacterium. RNAcentral describes it as "SURF-9 sp003599535 Standard tmRNA". It matches the Rfam family "transfer-messenger RNA". From Rfam's summary of the family: Bacterial tmRNA, also known as 10Sa RNA or SsrA, is named for its dual tRNA and mRNA-like properties. Its role is to liberate the mRNA from a stalled ribosome. RNAcentral also lists the same sequence under 1 other name. The record is from RNAcentral.
GGGGACGACAUGGUUUCGACGGGAUAGGAGGUUGUUGGAUCAGCAGGCCGGGGAUGAACGUAGCCCCGUCAAUAAAUCGUUCAAACCACAAAUGCCGACAACGGCUAUGCUCUGGCUGCCUAACUUAAGUUAGAAGCCACGUCCGCCCGGACCUUUGCCCAUGGGGUUCGGUUCCGGACGUCAUAAUCAUGGGCUGGCCAGUCCGUUGCGCCCCGCGACGGACGGCGAGAACCAGGGGCUGGCCCCCCGCGGAUCUGUCGGUGGAUCCAACGGAGGGCGAGAUCUGAACGCCGACUAAGCCUGUAGCGGGUCCUUCGGUCACUAUUUCGGACGCGGGUUCGAUUCCCGCCGUCUCCACCA